RNAcentral lists this ribosomal RNA (492 nucleotides) under uncultured bacterium. RNAcentral describes it as "partial 16S ribosomal RNA". It matches the Rfam family "Bacterial small subunit ribosomal RNA", at positions 29 to 507 of the family's 1533-position model. The record is from RNAcentral.
AGUGAACGCUGGCGGUAGGCCUAACACAUGCAAGUCGAACGGCAGCACAGUAAGAGCUUGCUCUUACGGGUGGCGAGUGGCGGACGGGUGAGGAAUACAUCGGAAUCUACUUUUUCGUGGGGGAUAACGUAGGGAAACUUACGCUAAUACCGCAUACGACCUACGGGUGAAAGCAGGGGAUCUUCGGACCUUGCGCGAUUGAAUGAGCCGAUGUCGGAUUAGCUAGUUGACGGGGUAAAGGCCCACCAAGGCGACGAUCCGUAGCUGGUCUGAGAGGAUGAUCAGCCACACUGGAACUGAGACACGGUCCAGACUCCUACGGGAGGCAGCAGUGGGGAAUAUUGGACAAUGGGCGCAAGCCUGAUCCAGCCACACCGCGUGGGUGAAGAAGGCCUUCGGGUUGUAAAGCCCUUUUGUUGGGAAAGAAAAGCAGCAGGUUAAUACCCCGCUGUUCUGACGGUACCCAAAGAAUAAGCACCGGCUAACUUCGUG